Equus caballus (horse) is the source of this 1956-nucleotide long non-coding RNA. The record is from Ensembl. NCBI's taxonomy places the organism in Eukaryota, Metazoa, Chordata, Mammalia, Perissodactyla, Equidae.
GCCCCGUUCUGCUCAGGUGCUGGACGUUUACCCUGGUGUGAAGUUCAAGUUCAGGGGCUCACACUGGAUGGAGGACCCUUGAGGCCCCUCUGGACCUUCCAUCCUUGACACGCCCACCCGCAGCUCUGCCCCAGCCUCGGGAAUCCUUUCUCACCUCCAGAAGAAGCACCGCGGUCCUCAACUCCCUCCCGCCCCAAACUCCUUUUCUCUGCCCCAGAUCUUUUCAGUCCAAAGUUGUGAACAGGCGUGGGACAGGUGUGCCCAUGGAAUUAGCUGCAUUCUAAACUUUUGAUCAUCAACAUUUACAAAUUAAGAAAUCCCACAUGAAAAUCCGUACCUUUCUGCUUCCCUGGAAAGAAGAGAUGAGGUAUCCUUUAAUUCCCCCGAUGGCAACUGAAGCACGAGCUGCCCCCUUCGGCUAGACCGGCUGGCUGUGGUCCUUCCUGCAGUCCAGCUGGCCGCCAGCUUUCCUCGCUCAGCCACUGCCCCCGCCUGGUGCCAGGGCAACUGUUUGCUGCCCUGGGCUCCCUAAGGGCUCGGGGCUGCAGCUUUGGAGAUACAAGUCUGCCAGUCUCUUCUCUUCUGAGGCGAUGGUGGGGAAGGGGUUGCUGGGGGUGAGAGGGAAAGGCCGAGAGAGAAAGCUCCUCGAGGUGGGUCGUGAAGGCUGGAGAGCACUUGGGAAGUGGAAAGAAGAGGAGAGGACAUCCCAGGCCGGGAGAACCAACUGAGCAAAGGCCAGGAGGUAGAACGGGGCUGUCCCCACCGUGAGACGGUGCAGGCGCCUGUCUGAUUGAACCACAGGACCCCAGGUUACGGAGCACUGGGGGAAAGCUUGGCAGGGACACUGGGGACAGAGUACAGACAGUUACCUUGACCUACCCAAAUCCCAAGCUGUGGACGGCCAGAGACACAAAAUCAAUUACUUCUCUGAGAGUUUUGUGUUUCUGAAUGACAUAAGUAGAAGAAAGUGGGUUCACACCAAGCUAUCCUCCAGACCCAGGUCUAUGCCAAACCAAAAGGCAAUUCAACUCAACUGACAAUUUUGGCUAAUAUUUUGUUCAAGGCUCUGUGCUAGGCACAGGGAGGAGGGGAAUAAUGAAGGCCACAGUAGGGAAAACCGGGUGCAAGUUCUCUGACAUUCCUCACAUCAAACGGCGGAAAACAAUUCCCCUUCCUUUGCAUAUGGGUGACCCUUAGCAACUCAAUUCUCAUCAGGAAAAUACAGCAGAACGACACUGUGUGACUCCUGAGGCUAUGUCAUAAAAGGCAAUCGAACUUCCUCCUCUCUAGCGCUCUCUCCCCACCCCCACUCCCCGCCGCCCUCCUCUGAGGGGCCCAGGCCACAGAGAGGGAGGCCAUGUGUGGGUGCUCCAGCCAAUGGGCCCACAUGAGGUCCUAGCCAACAGCCAGGACCAACCACCAGCCGUGGGAGUGAGCGAGCUUUCAGAUGAUUCCUGCCCCAGCCUCUGGCUGUCCCAGCUGUCACCAUAAAGAGGAGUAAAAUAAAGGUGUCUUCCGGCGUUUUGUCUGCAGUAAACGUUUUCCUGCCAAGAGCUUUUUCUGAAAGCAGAAUUGUCUCCUCAGGACAGAUUCCUGGGAGAGAAACGACGGGGUCAGAAGUUGUGGGCAUCUUUAUGGCUCUGGAUAUCCAUCCCUCAUCAAAGAUCAUGGUGACUUUUUUUAUUUUGAAUUGUGAUUCUUGUAGUUGAUGCUGUUAUUGUUACGAAAGGAUUAGAUGAUCGAUGUAGAAAACCUGGAAAAGUCGAAAGAUGCAAAUAAAAAUCUCCCGUAUUUCACCCACCUAAAUGGAAUCCUUAUCAGUAACGUGUUGGUGUAUCUUUUUCCUGUAUUUAUUUUUCUUUAAUGUAAGUUUUAGGGUUUUUUGUUUGUUUCAGUGCAUGCAUGAAUUAACAUAAUUGUGAUGAUACUCUGAAUAAAUUGGAGAUCACAGUUUUC